RNAcentral lists this ribosomal RNA (624 nucleotides) under uncultured Anaerolineaceae bacterium. RNAcentral describes it as "bacterial SSU rRNA". It matches the Rfam family "Bacterial small subunit ribosomal RNA", at positions 897 to 1533 of the family's 1533-position model. Lineage: Bacteria; Bacillati; Chloroflexota; Anaerolineae; Anaerolineales; Anaerolineaceae. The record is from RNAcentral.
AAACUUAAAGGAAUUGACGGGGGCCCGCACAAGCAGCGGAGCGUGUGGUUUAAUUCGAGGCUACACGAAGAACCUUACCUGGGUUUGACAUCACGGUGGUAGGGAACCGAAAGGGGACCGACCGCAAGGAGCCGUGACAGGUGCUGCAUGGCUGUCGUCAGCUCGUGUCGUGAGAUGUUCGGUUAAGUCCGAAAACGAGCGCAACCCUCGGGGGAAGUUACACGUGUCUGACCCGACUGCCUGCGAGAAGCAGGAGGAAGGUGGGGAUGACGUCAAGUCAGCAUGGCCUUUAUAUCCAGGGCUACACACACGCUACAAUGGGCAGUACAGUGGGAAGCGAAGCCGCGAGGCGGAGCGGAUCCAAAAAGCUGUUCUAAGUUCGGAUUGCAGGCUGCAACUCGCCUGCAUGAAGCUGGAGUUGCUAGUAACCGCAGGUCAGCGAUACUGCGGUGAAUACGUUCCCGGGCCUUGUACACACCGCCCGUCACGUCAUGGGAGCUGGUCACGCCUGAAGCCGAUGAGCGAACCGCAAGGGAGCAGUCGUCGAAGGCAGGGCUGGUGACUGGGACGAAGUCGUAACAAGGUAGCUGUAGCGGAAGCUGCGGCUGGAUCACCUCCUUUCUG